CCAGAAAAAUGAAUGAGUUAAAACAGCAAAGCAAGUACUAUGGAAUUUUUUUCUGUUAUAUAUUUUGUUGUUUAAAAAUCAAAGAGGUUAAAAAAUUUAAAAAGUGACAACAAGCAAAGCAAACCAAAAACGGAUAUAAAUGAUAUAAAUAUUGUUGCUGGCCUAUGCCAAACAAACAUGAAAAAUUAAAAAAAAACCCACCAAAAAACCCAAACAAGGGGAAUAAUUCCUGACUUUAUUAGAGAAAUAUAAUUUCAUUUAUGCUCUGGUUUCAUAGAAUUGUCUCUGUAGAAGGUUUUUGUUGUUUUGUAAAGUAUAAUGGACUUCUGGAUUUCGGAGAAUAAGUGAUCCUCAGUGAUCAGGUGACCCCGUUGGUCAGUGAUCCCUGCUGGUCCAGUCAGCUGUGGAUCCAGGGGCUGAUUGCAGAGUGAAAUCCACUCCCAUGAGUGGAAGGUGGGAUCAGAUUUCAGAGAAGAAGGAUUACAAAGUAGACAACACCCCGCAAGUAUUGUGGAAAGAAGGAUAAUUCCAGGUGCAAUAAGAUACGUUUUAGGCGAUGAGGGAACUGAGACACCAAGAAGUUAAAGAGCUUGUGAAGGUCACACAGUGAGCAAAUGGGAAAGCUGGGAUUCAGAACUAACUGUGUUUGGAGCCUGUGGUCUUGGGCAGGAAGCUUUCUGAGGCGUGUGUGGCAGGGAUAAGAGCCAAAUGGGAUAUAUGGUGCUGGACCUGGGUUACAGGAAGGAACUGUCUCAGAACCUGGCUGACCUGAUUCUGCUGAUGACUCAGCUCGGAAGGACGCCUCAUUGGGAAAGUGAAUCACGUACGUUACGCGUGUAACAGGGAGAGAGCUCCCUGGUGCUGUAUUUAGGGCAAGGUCUUACCACCCUUCUGCCUGUGACUUCUGGGUAUGUCAGGUAGGUCCAUGUAGGCACUUCACUUCUCUGAGGAGGUGGUCACCAGGUUAACUUCUCUUGCCUUGAUUGUGCCAUCUUGAAGAUCAGGUUCUUGAAGUUCCCAGACUUUGAAUUAAAGAAGCGUUCAAUUUCAUGUUAGCCUUAGGGGCUGCAAUGCUGUGACAUGACUUCUCUUGAGAAAUAUAAACAUCACACCAGGUGUGUGACCUGAUGUUUUCACAGCUUUGUUUGUGGUUACAUGUGUGUUAUAUGCUGAUGGCUGUAAUGACGCUAGACCCAGCUCUGUUAGUCCUGCUUCUAGUCAUGAUCCAUGGAUAUUAAUGCACUUGCACUGUCUUACUGGACUCACUUUUAGGAUCAAAGUCCUAGCAUUUUCGUGUUAGUCUCUGACACUUGUAAGCUGGGGACAGACUGAGCUUUUAGGACCAAACAACAUAUCAGGCAACAUGUAGUUGUCUACUUGACAAAAUUAAACAGAAUAUAGUCUCUAAAUAUUCUUUAUUGUAUUUUUGUGUUUUGCCAGCUUUUGCAGGAUGAGGCA
This 1458-nucleotide long non-coding RNA is filed under the name Bos indicus x Bos taurus (hybrid cattle). Its description in RNAcentral is "lncRNA (ENSBIXG00005015116.1)". The record is from RNAcentral. Lineage: Eukaryota; Metazoa; Chordata; Mammalia; Artiodactyla; Bovidae.